GGCAGCGCCAGUUGUUGCUAAGCUGUCGAAAGACGCUGGCUAUUUAACUGUAGGGGUUGUGUCUUAUCCAUUCAGAUUUGAAGGUCGCAGAAGGGCUGUACAGGCUUUGGAGGCAAUUGAAAAACUGCAGCGAUCUGUAGACACUUUGAUUGUCAUACCCAAUGAUCGGUUGCUUGAUCUGGCACCUGCGCAGACACCAUUACAAGAGGCUUUUCUACUUGCCGACGAUGUAUUACGUCAAGG
RNAcentral lists this unclassified non-coding RNA (243 nucleotides) under Hevea brasiliensis (rubber tree). The record is from RNAcentral. Lineage: Eukaryota; Viridiplantae; Streptophyta; Magnoliopsida; Malpighiales; Euphorbiaceae.